This 71-nucleotide transfer RNA is filed under the name Puniceicoccales bacterium. Its description in RNAcentral is "tRNA-Gln". It matches the Rfam family "tRNA". From Rfam's summary of the family: Transfer RNA (tRNA) molecules are approximately 80 nucleotides in length. Their secondary structure includes four short double-helical elements and three loops (D, anti-codon, and T loops). The record is from RNAcentral. Lineage: Bacteria; Pseudomonadati; Verrucomicrobiota; Opitutia; Puniceicoccales.
UGCUUGGUGGUGUAACGGUAGCACAACGGAUUCUGGUUCCGUUUGUCUAGGUUCGAAUCCUAGCCGGGCAG